This 487-nucleotide ribosomal RNA is filed under the name uncultured bacterium. RNAcentral describes it as "partial 16S ribosomal RNA". It matches the Rfam family "Bacterial small subunit ribosomal RNA", at positions 30 to 507 of the family's 1533-position model. The record is from RNAcentral.
AUUGAACGCUGGCGGCAUGCCUUACACAUGCAAGUCGAACGGCAGCACGGGUGCUUGCACCUGGUGGCGAGUGGCGAACGGGUGAGUAAUACAUCGGAACAUGUCCUGUAGUGGGGGAUAGCCCGGCGAAAGCCGGAUUAAUACCGCAUACGAUCUACGGAUGAAAGCGGGGGACCUUCGGGCCUCGCGCUAUAGGGUUGGCCGAUGGCUGAUUAGCUAGUUGGUGGGGUAAAGGCCUACCAAGGCGACGAUCAGUAGCUGGUCUGAGAGGACGACCAGCCACACUGGGACUGAGACACGGCCCAGACUCCUACGGGAGGCAGCAGUGGGGAAUUUUGGACAAUAGGCGAAAGCCUGAUCCAGCAAUGCCGCGUGUGUGAAGAAGGCCUUCGGGUUGUAAAGCACUUUUGUCCGGAAAGAAAUCCUUGGCCCUAAUACGGUCGGGGGGAUGACGGUACCGGAAGAAUAAGCACCGGCUAACUACGUG